Molecule: ribosomal RNA, 427 nt
Filed under: uncultured bacterium
Lineage: Bacteria
Description: partial 16S ribosomal RNA
Rfam family: Bacterial small subunit ribosomal RNA
Source: RNAcentral
UGGGGAAUAUUGCACAAUGGGCGCAAGCCUGAUGCAGCCAUGCCGCGUGUAUGAAGAAGGCCUUCGGGUUGUAAAGUACUUUCAGCGAGGAGGAAGGCGUUGUGGUUAAUAACCACAACGAUUGACGUUACUCGCAGAAGAAGCACCGGCUAACUCCGUGCCAGCAGCCGCGGUAAUACGGAGGGUGCAAGCGUUAAUCGGAAUUACUGGGCGUAAAGCGCACGCAGGCGGUCUGUCAAGUCGGAUGUGAAAUCCCCGGGCUCAACCUGGGAACUGCAUCCGAAACUGGCAGGCUAGAGUCUUGUAGAGGGGGGUAGAAUUCCAGGUGUAGCGGUGAAAUGCGUAGAGAUCUGGAGGAAUACCGGUGGCGAAGGCGGCCCCCUGGACAAAGACUGACGCUCAGGUGCGAAAGCGUGGGGAGCAAACA